Molecule: ribosomal RNA, 460 nt
Filed under: uncultured bacterium
Lineage: Bacteria
Description: partial 16S ribosomal RNA
Rfam family: Bacterial small subunit ribosomal RNA
Source: RNAcentral
CCUACGGGAUGCAGCAGUGAGGAAUAUUGGUCAAUGGGCGCUAGCCUGAACCAGCCAAGUAGCGUGAAGGAUGACUGCCCUAUGGGUUGUAAACUUCUUUUAUAUGGGAAUAAAGUGCAUUAUGUAUACUGCUUUGCAUGUACCUUAUGAAUAAGGAUCGGCUAACUCCGUGCCAGCAGCCGCGGUAAUACGGAGGAUCCGGGCGUUAUCCGGAUUUAUUGGGUUUAAAGGGAGCGUAGGCGGGUUGUUAAGUCAGUUGUGAAAGUUUGCGGCUCAACCGUAAAAUUGCAGUUGAUACUGGCAGCCUUGAGUACAGUAGAGGUAGGCGGAAUUCGUGGUGUAGCGGUGAAAUGCUUAGAUAUCACGAAGAACUCCGAUUGCGAAGGCAGCCUGCUGGACUGUAACUGACGCUGAUGCUCGAAAGUGUGGGUAUCAAACAGGAUUAGAUACCCUUGUAGUC